RNAcentral lists this ribosomal RNA (492 nucleotides) under uncultured bacterium. RNAcentral's name for it is "partial 16S ribosomal RNA". It matches the Rfam family "Bacterial small subunit ribosomal RNA", at positions 29 to 507 of the family's 1533-position model. The record is from RNAcentral.
AGUGAACGCUGGCGGUAGGCCUAACACAUGCAAGUCGAACGGCAGCACAGUAAGAGCUUGCUCGUACGGGUGGCGAGGGGCGGACGGGUGAGGAAUACAUCGGAAUCUACUUUUUCGUGGGGGAUAACGUAGGGAAACUUACGCGAAUACCGCAUACGACCUACGGGUGAAAGCAGGGGAUCUUCGGACCUUGCGCGAUUGAAUGAGCCGAUGUCGGAUUAGCUAGUUGGCGGGGUAAAGGCCCACCAAGGCGACGAUCCGUAGCUGGUCUGAGAGGAUGAUCAGCCACACUGGAACUGAGACACGGUCCAGACUCCUACGGGAGGCAGCAGUGGGGACUAUUGGACAAUGGGCGCAAGCCUGAUCCAGCCAUACCGCGUGGGUGAAGAAGGCCUUCGGGUUGUAAAGCACUUUUGUUGGGAAAGAAAAGCAGCAGGUUAAUACCCCGCUGUUCUGACGGUACCCAAAGAAUAAGCACCGGCUAACUUCGUG